This 492-nucleotide ribosomal RNA is filed under the name uncultured bacterium. RNAcentral describes it as "partial 16S ribosomal RNA". It matches the Rfam family "Bacterial small subunit ribosomal RNA", at positions 29 to 507 of the family's 1533-position model. The record is from RNAcentral.
AGUGAACGCUGGCGGCAGGCCUAACACAUGCAAGUCGAACGGCAACACAGUAUGAGCUUGUGCUUACGGGUGGAGGGUGGAGGACUGGUGCGGAAUAUAUCCGGAUCUACUGGUUAGUGGAGGAAAAGGUGGGGAAAUAUACCCUGAUACCUCAUACGGACUGCGGGGGAAAGAAGAGCAACGUCGGACCUUGCGCGAUUGAAUGAGCCGAUGUCGGAUUAGCUAGUUGGCGGGGUAAAGGCCUACCAAGGCGACGAUCCGUAGCUGGUCUGAGAGGACGAUCAGCCACACUGGGACUGAGACACGGUCCAGACUCCUACGGGAGGCAGCAGUGGGGAAUAUUGGACAAUGGGCGCAAGCCUGAUCCAGCAAUGCCGCGUGCGUGAAGAAGGCCUUCGGGUUGUAAAGCGCUUUUGGCAGGAAAGAAAAGCAGCACGUUAAUACCCCGCGGUAAUGACGGUACCUAAAGAAUAAGCACCGGCUAACUACGUG